RNAcentral lists this ribosomal RNA (446 nucleotides) under uncultured bacterium. RNAcentral describes it as "partial 16S ribosomal RNA". It matches the Rfam family "Bacterial small subunit ribosomal RNA", at positions 329 to 793 of the family's 1533-position model. The record is from RNAcentral.
GUCCAGACUCCUACGGGAGGCAGCAGUGGGGAUAUUGCACAAUGGGGGGAACCCUGAUGCAGCGACGCCGCGUGAAGGAAGAAGUAUCUCGGUAUGUAAACUUCUAUCAGCAGGGAAGAAAAUGACGGUACCUAACUAAGAAGCCCCGGCUAACUACGUGCCAGCAGCCGCGGUAAUAUGUAGGGGGCAAGCGUUAUCCGGAUUUACUGGGUGUAAAGGGGGCGCAGACGGCGAUGCAAGCCAGGAGUGAAAGCCCGGGGCCCAACCCCGGGACUGCUCUUGGAACUGCGCGGCUGGAGUGCAGGAGGGGCAGGCGGAAUUCCUGGCGUAGCGGUGAAAUGCGUAGAUAUCAGGAGGAACACCAGUGGCGAAGGCGGCCUGCUGGACGAUGACUGACGUUGAGGCUCGAAAGCGUGGGGAGCAAACAGGAUUAGAUACCCUUGUAG